AACGAACGCUGGCGGCAGGCCUAACACAUGCAAGUCGAACGGGACCUUCGGGUCUAGUGGCGGACGGGUGAGUAACGCGUGGGAACGUGCCCUUUGGUUCGGAAUAGCCCCGGGAAACUGGGAGUAAUACCGGAUAAGACCUACGGGGGAAAGAUUUAUCGCGAAAGGAUCGGCCCGCGUUGGCUUAGGUAGUUGGUGAGGUAAGGGCUCACCAAGCCGACUAUCCAUAGCUGGUUUGAGAGGAUGAACAGCCACACUGGGACUGAGACACGGCCCAGACUCCUACGGGAGGCAGCAGUGGAGAAUCUUAGACAAUGGGGGAAACCCUGAUCUAGCCAUGCCGCGUGAUCGAUGAAGGCCUUAGGGUUGUAAAGAUCUUUCAGUGGGGAAGAUAAUGACUGUACCCACAGAAGAAGCCCCGGCUAACUCCGUGCCAGCCGCCGCAGUAA
Molecule: ribosomal RNA, 449 nt
Filed under: uncultured bacterium
Lineage: Bacteria
Description: partial 16S ribosomal RNA
Rfam family: Bacterial small subunit ribosomal RNA
Source: RNAcentral